AGGGUUACCAAGGGAGCCAUUAAUGUCAUCAAGGACAUUGACUCAGCGCUGGAGACUAUAUAAACAAACUUUUUCAACUUCACAAAGGUACAUUAUCUUUCUCUCUAAAAAUCUCCCUCCACACUUAACUGACUUGAGCGUCGGAGUGUUUGUAGGUACACAACCCAUUUUCCCUUCACCGGGGUUUGGAACGGAGCAACACCGAACACGAUCAUUCUUCUGAUAAAAUAAUAUCAGUUGUAUAUUGACAUAUGUACGGUGAUAACUACGACAAUUAUUUUGGAAUCAACG
Molecule: long non-coding RNA, 291 nt
Filed under: Trifolium pratense (red clover)
Lineage: Eukaryota; Viridiplantae; Streptophyta; Magnoliopsida; Fabales; Fabaceae
Description: long non-coding RNA (TPRA_LNC003045)
Source: RNAcentral